Molecule: ribosomal RNA, 318 nt
Filed under: Triticum aestivum (bread wheat)
Lineage: Eukaryota; Viridiplantae; Streptophyta; Magnoliopsida; Poales; Poaceae
Description: partial small subunit ribosomal RNA
Source: RNAcentral
AUGGCGGGCGCGAAGUCGUCGGUUCUGCUCGACGUGAAGCCGUGGGACGACGAGACCGACAUGGCCAAGCUCGAGGAAGCCGUACGGAGCGUCGCCAUGGAAGGACUGACAUGGGGUGCAUCCAAGCUUGUUCCGGUUGGGUACGGGAUGAGCAAGAUGCAGAUCAUGCUGACGAUCGUCGACGAUCUCGUGUCCGUCGACGACCUCAUCGAGGACCGUCUCUGCGCCGAGCCAGUCGACGAGUUCGUGCAGAGCUGCGACAUUGCCAGCUUCAACAAAAUAUGUGCGUGCCUAAUCCGGUCGUUCAGAAUAUUUUAG